GCAAGAAAGGGAGGUUGCAUGCAGGAAAAAGGAAGGAGGAGGGGGCAAUCGGCAACCCACCGCCCCCGGUGCACUAGAUGCGAGGCAAGCAAGAUGAAAACAGAUCCCUUGCUGAAAAACAAGAGUGGGAAAACAGCGCCUAGCAAUCCCAUGAGCCCUUACAAUGACUGUUGAUGCCUGCGGAGAAUUGGAGUUUGAGAAAGGUUUGGAGGGAGCACUUGUGGUAGAGUUUGCCACCUUUCCUGCUGGCCUGGCAUUUUGUUUAAUAAAGAAGGACCAGGCCUGCAAACUGAUCUGAGAAUCCAAUUCACAGCCAUAGCCAGAGGCAAGUAUGUAGGCAAAUGCAGGCUCCAACCUCCCUAUACUCAUCAGUAGGUGGACUGUUGCGCUCUGCUUCUGAAACAGUUUGAGAAAAAGCAGUCCUAUAGAGAGUGAAGUCUUGCCCUCUUUUCAGCUGCUCUGAAGACCUCAGCACUUGUGGACUCUGGAAAGAUCGAUCAACCAGGCAGGAAAGGAUGACAGACCCUCCAAGUGUCCCUUUUUUCCAGGGACAUUCCUGAUUUAGAGAAGCCAUCCCAGU
This is a non-coding RNA of Podarcis muralis (Common wall lizard), 580 nucleotides long. The record is from RefSeq and is a predicted model, not a curated record. NCBI's taxonomy places the organism in Eukaryota, Metazoa, Chordata, Lepidosauria, Squamata, Lacertidae.